Molecule: ribosomal RNA, 909 nt
Filed under: Lulesia mundula
Lineage: Eukaryota; Fungi; Basidiomycota; Agaricomycetes; Agaricales; Entolomataceae
Description: Clitocella mundula partial large subunit ribosomal RNA
Source: RNAcentral
CAUAUCAAUAAGCGGAGGAAAAGAAACUAACAAGGAUUCCCCUAGUAACUGCGAGUGAAGCGGGAAGAGCUCAAAUUUAAAAUCUGGUAGUCUUUGGCUGCCCGAGUUGUAAUCUAGAGAAGCGUUAUCCGCGCUGGACCGUGUACAAGUCUCCUGGAAUGGAGCGUCAUAGAGGGUGAGAAUCCCGUCUUUGACACGGACUACCAGGGCUUUGUGAUACGCUCUCGAAGAGUCGAGUUGUUUGGGAAUGCAGCUCUAAAUGGGUGGUAAAUUCCAUCUAAAGCUAAAUAUUGGCGAGAGACCGAUAGCGAACAAGUACCGUGAGGGAAAGAUGAAAAGAACUUUGGAAAGAGAGUUAAACAGUACGUGAAAUUGUUGAAAGGGAAACGCUUGAAGUCAGUCACGUUGGCUAGGAAUCAGCCUUGCUUUUGCUUGGUGUAUUUCCUGGUUUUAACGGGUCAGCAUCAAUUUCGACCGAUGGAAAAAGGUCRGGGGAAUGUGGCAUCUUAGGAUGUGUUAUAGCCCYUGGUCGUAUACAUCGGUUGGGAUUGAGGAACUCAGCACGCCGCAAGGUCGGGUUAUCUAACCACGUUCGUGCUUAGGAUGCUGGCAUAAUGGCUUUAAUCGACCCGUCUUGAAACACGGACCAAGGAGUCUAACAUGCCUGCGAGUGUUUGGGUGGAAAACCCGAGCGCGUAAUGAAAGUGAAAGUUGAGAUCCCUGUCGUGGGGAGCAUCGACGCCCGGACCAGACCUUCUGUGACGGAUCCGCGGUAGAGCAUGUAUGUUGGGACCCGAAAGAUGGUGAACUAUGCCUGAAUAGGGUGAAGCCAGAGGAAACUCUGGUGGAGGCUCGUAGCGAUUCUGACGUGCAAAUCGAUCGUCAAAUUUGGGUAUAGGGGCGAAAGAC